Molecule: ribosomal RNA, 799 nt
Filed under: uncultured Glomeromycotina
Lineage: Eukaryota; Fungi; Glomeromycota
Description: SSU rRNA
Rfam family: Eukaryotic small subunit ribosomal RNA
Source: RNAcentral
AUCAACUUUCGAUGGUAGGAUAGAGGCCUACCAUGGUGGUAACGGGUAACGGGGUGUUAGGGCACGACACCGGAGAGGGAGCCUGAGAAACGGCUACCACAUCCAAGGAUGGCAGCAGGCGCGCAAAUUACCCAAUCCCGACACGGGGAGGUAGUGACAAUAAAUAACAAUACGGGGUUCUUUAGGAUCUCGUAAUUGGAAUGAGUACAAUUUAAAUCUCUUAACGAGGAACAAUUGGAGGGCAAGUCUGGUGCCAGCAGCCGCGGUAAUUCCAGCUCCAAUAGCGUAUAUUAAAGUUGUUGCAGUUAAAAAGCUCGUAGUUGAAUUUCGGGGUUAGUAGGUUGGUCAUGCCUCUGGUAUGUACUGGUCUCACUGAUUCCUCCUUCCUGAUGAGCCGUAAUGCCAUUAAUUUGGUGUUGAGGGGAAUUUGGACUGUUACUUUGAAAAAAUUAGAGUGUUUAAAGCAAGCUAACGCUUGAAUACAUUAGCAUGGAAUAAUGAAAUAGGACGUUCGAUCCUAUUUUGUUGGUUUCUAGGAUUGACGUAAUGAUUAAUAGGGAUAGUUGGGGGCAUUAGUAUUCAAUUGUCAGAGGUGAAAUUCUUGGAUUUAUUGAAGACUAACUACUGCGAAAGCAUUUGCCAAGGAUGUUUUCAUUAAUCAAGAACGAAAGUUAGGGGAUCGAAGACGAUCAGAUACCGUCGUAGUCUUAACCAUAAACUAUGCCGACUAGGGAUCGGAUGAUGUUAAUUUUUUAAUGACUCAUUCGGCGCCUUACGGGAAACCAAAGUGUUUGGGUUC